This is a long non-coding RNA of Stylophora pistillata, 1266 nucleotides long. RefSeq lists it as uncharacterized. The record is from RefSeq and is a predicted model, not a curated record. NCBI's taxonomy places the organism in Eukaryota, Metazoa, Cnidaria, Anthozoa, Scleractinia, Pocilloporidae.
CUUUUCCAACCAUAGCCACUUAUUGUAGUCUCACGCGAGUAACUUUGUGACGCCUUUUCUCAGAACAGCGUCGGUAGAUUGAAGCGGGUUCGGUUCAUUGGGUCCAUAAACAAAAAAAGUGACUGAUGCUGUACAUCUUUGAGAUCUUAUAAUUAUAACACAUUUGACGUAAUAUGCUCCAGUUAAGAUUAAAACUGAAGGAUGAUUACUUGGUUAAAUAGCCUCAACAUUUGCACUGACAUUCCUGUCCUGUUUCUAUUGCCCAGCAUCUGGUAAUCCGCUGUCAAAGCUGCAACUGGGCAAUGCUGUUGAAGGAAUGUGACAAUGAAAUGAACAUAAACUUCCACUUAGAGAAAGAUGACACAAUAAACAAGGUUACUGCUCUCCCAAAAAUAAUCAGCGCAUUCCUAUCCGAAGAUAUUUACAGCUAUAAAAAAGACACCGAUAUCCUGAUUGAAAAAUGCUGCUGAUCAAAAAUGUAGGCUUCCAACUUUUGCCUAACCAAAGGCUUGUAACUAACAUGAGACAGCACCCUCAGGAGGAAGUAACAGAUGAACAGCUACUGAAAUCCAUACCCAAUAUAAGCAUCCAGGAGCAAUCACAGGAAUCUGAGCAAAUACAAGUAAAUAAUCAAAGUGCACCGUGACAAAAGGACGAAAAAACUAUCAAGAAACAAAAGACAAACCACUAAAAUCCAACAAAGUCAACUAAAAAAAAAAAAAAAUCAACAAGCAGUGGAACAUUUAAAGGACAAACAAAAUUUAAUCGUUUCCGUAUUACAAUUCCCAUUGAUAGUGUUUAAGCAGUAAAAUUGAAAUGUUCACUUCUGUUGUAUUUAAAACAACCGCAAAAUAAGAUCAAUUGCAUUUGAAGGACAAGCAAACUUUGAUGUUUCCUGUUACAGUUCCCAUUGAUAGACUGUCACCAAUAGAAUUGAAAUGUUCACUGCUGCUGUGUUUAAAACAACUAGAAAAGAAGGCCAUCACAUUUAAAGCACAAGCAAACAGUGAUCUUUCCUGUUACAGUUCGAUUCUUUGAAUACUAACAUUGAUGUUAACAUAAAUUAUACAUGAUUAUACAGUGCAUGUAACGUGAAAAAAGAGGAUCAAGCACGUUCAAGGUACAAACAAACUUUAUUUUGUCCUGUUUCCAUUGAUACUUUAAAGUACGAUAGUAUGUACAUUCUGGCAUUCAGUUCUGCAGUAUAGUUAAGUUUACGAAGAAAUGUACCCUUACAGUUAUUGUUAAUAAACUGUUACUUGCUAG